UACGGGGCGCANCNGGCGCCAAAACUUUACAAUGCUGGCAACAGCGAUAAGGGAACCUCGAGUGCCAGGUUACAAAUCUGGCUGUCGAGAUGCCUAAAAAGCAUUUCAUAGCAAGGGCCGGGCAAGACCGGUGCCAGCCGCCGCGGUAACACCGGCGGCUCGAGUGGUAACCGUUAUUAUUGGGUCUAAAGGGUCUGUAGCCGGCCGGAUAAGUCUCUUGAGAAAUCUGGCAGCUUAACUGUCAGGCUUUCAGGAGAUACUGUCUGGCUCGAGGCCGGGAGAGGUGAGAGGUACUUCAGGGGUAGGGGUGAAAUCUUGUAAUCCUUGAAGGACCACCAGUGGCGAAGGCCUCUCACCAGAACGGACCUGACGGCAAGGGACGAAAGCUAGGGGCACGAACCGGAUUAGAUACCCGGGUAGUCCUAGCCGUAAACGAUACUCGCUAGGUGUCGGCCACGGUGCGACCGUUGUCGGUGCCGUAGGGAAGCCGUGAAGCGAGCCACCUGGGAAGUACGGCCGCAAGNNUGAAACUUAAAGGAAUUGGCGGGGGAGCACCACAACGGGUGGAGCUUGCGGUUUAAUUGGAUUCAACGCCGGAAAUCUUACCGGGACCGACAGCAAUAUGAAGGCCAGGCUGAAGACUUUGCCGGAUUAGCUGAGAGGUGGUGCAUGGCCGUCGUCAGUUCGUACUGUGAAGCAUCCUGUUAAGUCAGGCAACGAGCGAGACCCACGCCCACAGUUGCCAGCGUACUCUCUGGAGUGACGGGUACACUGUGGGGACCGCCGCUGCUAAAGCGGAGGAAGGAAUGGGCAACGGUAGGUCAGUAUGCCCCGAAUAUCCCGGGCUACACGCGAGCUACAAUGGUUGGUACAAUGGGUAUCUANCCCGAAAGGGGACGGGAAUCUCCUAAAACCAAUCUUAGUUCGGAUUGAGGGCUGCAACUCGCCCUCAUGAAGCUGGAAUCCGUAGUAAUCGCGUUUCAACAGAACGCGGUGAAUACGUCCCUGCUCCUUGCACACACCG
RNAcentral lists this ribosomal RNA (1024 nucleotides) under uncultured archaeon SJD-105. RNAcentral describes it as "bacterial SSU rRNA". It matches the Rfam family "Archaeal small subunit ribosomal RNA", at positions 324 to 1348 of the family's 1478-position model. The record is from RNAcentral.